This 384-nucleotide ribosomal RNA is filed under the name uncultured prokaryote. RNAcentral's name for it is "bacterial SSU rRNA". It matches the Rfam family "Archaeal small subunit ribosomal RNA", at positions 341 to 725 of the family's 1478-position model. The record is from RNAcentral.
GCGAAAACUUUACAAUGCUGGCAACAGCGAUAAGGGAACCUCGAGUGCCAGGUUACAAAUCUGGCUGUCGAGAUGCCUAAAAAGCAUUUCAUAGCAAGGGCCGGGCAAGACCGGUGCCAGCCGCCGCGGUAACACCGGCGGCUCGAGUGGUAACCGUUAUUAUUGGGUCUAAAGGGUCUGUAGCCGGCCGGAUAAGUCUCUUGAGAAAUCUGGCAGCUUAACUGUCAGGCUUUCGGGAGAUACUGUCUGGCUCGAGGCCGGGAGAGGUGAGAGGUACUUCAGGGGUAGGGGUGAAAUCUUGUAAUCCUUGAAGGACCACCAGUGGCGAAGGCGUCUAACCAGAACGGACCUGACGGCAAGGGACGAAAGCUAGGGGCACGAACC